GUGCCAGCCGCCGCGGUAAGACAGAGGGGGCCAGCGUUGUCCGGAGUUACUGGGCGUAAAGCGCACGCAGGCGGUGGCUUAAGUGUCGUGUGAAAGCUCCCGGCUCAACCGGGAGAGGCCAUGGCAGACUGGGCUACUAGAGCGCCGGAGAGGUCUCUCGAAUUGCUGGUGUAGUGGUGAAAUGCGUAGAGAUCAGCAGGAAGACCAAGGGGGAAGCCAGGAGACUGGCCGGCAGCUGACGCUGAGGUGCGACGGCGUGGGGAGCAAACCGGAUUAGAUACCCGCGUAGUCC
RNAcentral lists this ribosomal RNA (292 nucleotides) under uncultured bacterium. Its description in RNAcentral is "partial 16S ribosomal RNA". It matches the Rfam family "Bacterial small subunit ribosomal RNA", at positions 505 to 796 of the family's 1533-position model. The record is from RNAcentral.